This 1432-nucleotide long non-coding RNA is filed under the name Vulpes vulpes (red fox). RNAcentral describes it as "lncRNA (ENSVVUG00000019798.1)". Lineage: Eukaryota; Metazoa; Chordata; Mammalia; Carnivora; Canidae. The record is from RNAcentral.
CGGCAGCGGCAGUUUUCAUUAGCGGCCGAGCGAGGGGAUGGCGAUGGAUGGGCUGGGGUAGCCAUCAGUCGUAGGGGUCCCUCCUCGAAUUCUUUUUCUGGAGUGACAUGUGCAACCCAGAUGCACACGGUCGGGCCCAGGAUCCAGGUCCCUCACUGCAGGGUGAGGGGACACCGGCCGGGGGCCCUGGGAGCCCCCCCUCACCAUUCUGUGGGCUGUAAGCACCGCCACUCUUCUACUUUUAGAUGUCAGCCACCAGAAAGGCUUGACACACUCCCCACGACCACCCUGCCUACUCGACGUCCAUGUUCACCUGCCGCAGAUGGUCACUGUGAAUUAAUAUCAAGACUGGUACUUAGCUCCUGGGCAAGACUGUGUUCAAAUCUCAGCUCCUCUAGUUACCACCUCUUGGUCUCUGAGAAGGCAGCUUACGUCUCCGGACCUCCGUUUCCACAUCUGUGAAAUGAGAAAAAUGAUAAUUGAUGGUCUCAAAGGUGUUGUGAGGCCUCAUUGAUAUGGGGCCCACCAGAAGCCUAAGGCAAACGGUGCCUGUCAUAGCGCACCCUCAACAAGUGGCUCCCUUUUUCACUGCUAAGUGGCUGUUAUUAACAUUAUUAUUUUAUUGAUUUUUGCUUAUUAUCCACAAAAAUAGACAGUUCUUACCUACAAAUUGGACCAGAAUGGGGCACUAGCUAAACAGUGUGUGUGUGUGUGUGUGUGUGUGUUUGUGUGUAUGUGUCUUUAGAUGGUUUAUACUGAAUUUCCUAGAAAUUUUUCUUUCUUUGAAAAUUUUUCCUUGACUCUGGAGUUUCCUUCCAUUUAAUCCCUGAUCUCUCUCCCUCUCUCUCUCUCUCUCUGUCCUCCAUGCAGUAAAACAGAGCUGCAGGCACUCAAUUUCAAGUCAGUGGGCUGUGAAAAGCAGUUAGAAUAAUAGUUUAUUGACCUGAAUGUGGCAGCUGGAACUGAGGGCAGGCGAGGCUCGGGCGGAGCAUAAUCGUCACAAUGGAGGCUGGAUCAUCUUUGAUCAUUGCCGUGACCUUUAAGAGACAAGAUGUUUGCAGGGAACAUGGCAAGUGCCGCCAGAGCCCCCUCGUCCGGGGGAGAUGGUGCCCAGAGAGGGCCUGGCCUGAUUGGAAAGGAAACAGGUGGCCGGUGGUGGGGAGAGAGCCUGUGUUCCGCAUCCAUCUGUGUUUGUGGGUCCCACACCAUCAGGGGCCCGGGGAUCAGAGCUCUGAGAAACUCUUGACUUCCAUUGGGCCCACUGACCCCCCCACAAUCACGUCAGAGCCAUCAAGAAACACUUCGUGUUUCAGAUCAUCUUUGAGAUUUUGCUCCUAAAUACUGACUUGCCCUUCUUCAUUCGCUGAGGUGAUCAUGGACUUUCUGAUGGCAACAUAAUUAUGAAAUAAAAAUGAACUAAGCUGAUUGAACA